UUAGAGACUCCUACGGGAGGCAGCAGUGGGGAAUAUUGCACAAUGGGCGCAAGCCUGAUGCAGCCAUGCCGCGUGUAUGAAGAAGGCCUUCGGGUUGUAAAGUACUUUCAGCGGGGAGGAAGGGAGUGAGGUUAAUAACCUUAUUCAUUGACGUUACCCGCAGAAGAAGCACCGGCUAACUCCGUGCCAGCAGCCGCGGUAAUACGGAGGGUGCAAGCGUUAAUCGGAAUUACUGGGCGUAAAGCGCACGCAGGCGGUCUGUCAAGUCGGAUGUGAAAUCCCCGGGCUCAACCUGGGAACUGCAUUCGAAACUGGCAGGCUGGAGUCUUGUAGAGGGGGGUAGAAUUCCAGGUGUAGCGGUGAAAUGCGUAGAGAUCUGGAGGAAUACCGGUGGCGAAGGCGGCCCCCUGGACAAAGACUGACGCUCAG
RNAcentral lists this ribosomal RNA (429 nucleotides) under Klebsiella oxytoca. RNAcentral's name for it is "bacterial SSU rRNA". It matches the Rfam family "Bacterial small subunit ribosomal RNA", at positions 329 to 750 of the family's 1533-position model. Lineage: Bacteria; Pseudomonadati; Pseudomonadota; Gammaproteobacteria; Enterobacterales; Enterobacteriaceae. The record is from RNAcentral.